GAGGGGGUGCUAGCGUUAUUCGGAAUUAUUGGGCGUAAAGGGUGCGUAGACGGCAUGUUAAGUUGGUUGUUAAAUCCUUCGGGCUUAACCGGGAGGGCUUGCGAUCAAAACUGGCAAGCUAGAGGAUGGAAGAGAGAAGUGGAAUUCUCGGAGUAGCGGUAAAAUGCGUAGAUCUCGAGAGGAACACCAAUGGCGAAGGCAGCUUCUUGGUCCAUUCCUGACGUUGAGGCACGAAAGCGUGGGUAGCAAACAGGAUUAGAUACCCUGGUAGUCCACGCCGUAAACGAUAAUCACUUGAUGUUAGUCCUGUUUACAGGAUUAGUAUCGAAGCUAACGCGUUAAGUGAUUCGCCUGGGAACUACGAUCGCAAAGAUUAA
This 377-nucleotide ribosomal RNA is filed under the name uncultured organism. RNAcentral's name for it is "partial 16S ribosomal RNA". It matches the Rfam family "Bacterial small subunit ribosomal RNA", at positions 526 to 897 of the family's 1533-position model. The record is from RNAcentral.